AGUGAACGCUGGCGGUAGGCCUAACACAUGCAAGUCGAACGGCAGCACAGUAAGAGCUUGCUCUUACGGGUGGCGAGUGGCGGACGGGUGAGGAAUACAUCGGAAUCUACUUUUUCGUGGGGGAUAACGUAGGGAAACUUACGCUAAUACCGCAUACGACCUACGGGUGAAAGCAGGGGAUCUUCGGACCUUGCGCGAUUGAAUGAGCCGAUGUCGGAUUAGCUAGUUGGCGGGGUAAAGGCCCACCAAGGCGACGAUCCGUAGCUGGUCUGAGAGGAUGAGCAGCCACACUGGAACUGAGACACGGUCCAGACUCCUACGGGAGGCAGCAGUGGGGAAUAUUGGACAAUGGGCGCAAGCCUGAUCCAGCCAUACCGCGUGGGUGAAGAAGGCCUUCGGGUUGUAAAGCCCUUUUGUUGGGAAAGAAAAGCAGCAGGUUAAUACCCCGCUGUGCUGACGGUACCCAAAGAAUAAGCACCGGCUAACUUCGUG
This 492-nucleotide ribosomal RNA is filed under the name uncultured bacterium. Its description in RNAcentral is "partial 16S ribosomal RNA". It matches the Rfam family "Bacterial small subunit ribosomal RNA", at positions 29 to 507 of the family's 1533-position model. The record is from RNAcentral.